Cricetulus griseus (Chinese hamster) is the source of this 1428-nucleotide non-coding RNA. NCBI's taxonomy places the organism in Eukaryota, Metazoa, Chordata, Mammalia, Rodentia, Cricetidae. The record is from RefSeq and is a predicted model, not a curated record.
CGGAAAAGAAGAACGGAGCAACGGCCUUUUUAUAGCUUUCUGAGUAGGCUUUCUUUUCCAUAGGUUAAUUUUUAUCUGAACAACCCAGAUAAGGAGACCGACGCCUUGUGAAGGUCAGGUACGCUGGUCCGGACCCUUUGAGACCCUGCCCUGUGCUCCAAACAGAUGAGACACUCGGUUGUGGAGACCGGCCUUGCCAAAUACCAGGGAGCAACUGUUUGCCACUGUGAGUGAGUAGGCUAAGCAUCUGGACCAAGGGAGGGUGGCCAAGGAGUCGGUCUACUGGACUCAGGUGAGAUCUGGGGCCUGCACUCUGUUAGCCCAGCCUUAGGGGCCUUUGGCAGGUAGGGGUUGACAGAAGCCUGGAGAAUCUUCAAAAAGCACCAAGAAGAUGGAUUUGGAGAUGUUGGGGACACUGAAUUGAGAGGUGACCUCAGCCCAGUUGUUGGACCCCAGGGUCUGGCUGUUUUCUCCACACCGAGAAGAUUCUGACUCUCCUGACUCAGAUGCACGGUAGACCCUAUGACCCGAUGGCCACCGAGUAGACACUGGGUUCUACAUGGUGGCUACUGCAUGGACAUCCUGUUCUAGGCAUGUCAGCAGGAUAACAUGGUCACAGCCAUCUGUCCAGAAGGACUGGGAGAGUCUGGAAGUUUCCCGGUACAAGGUACUAUGUCAUGUUUCGGGAGCUAGAAGUGCUGACUGGAUCUUACACCGUCUCAGCCACGCUGAGCAACACAGCUACACUGAGCAGUAUAGCCAAGCUGAGCGGUACAGCCAUGCCUGUUCUCUCCUGUAUCUCACCUGACCUUCAAACCUGCACAAAGAACUGUACAGAUAAGCAAUGUGUGUGCAGACAGCAAAUGCUUAAGAGGUUAUAAGAUGACACAGCCUGUGCUCUGUCCCCUGGCCUGCCCCACCCCGAGUGCCUUCCCUGCUGCUGAGAACUGCUUUCAUCAGUCUCUAAGGAAUGGUGCAGGAGAAUCAGCAAGACUCACUGGGCCAUGCCUGCCUCCCUGGCUGCAUCCUCGGCUACCUAGCCUUCCUCCCCAGACUCUACUGUGAAGAUGCCACAUCCUUGAGUCAUAGAAAAUGGAAGAACCAAGCUGGUGCUCUGCUGGGACCUUCGUCCUUCCUGGCUAGCUCUCCUGGUCCUAGGAGGUGCUCUGUGUGCCACUGGAGGAGAAAAGUGACCUUACAUUUCACCUACCUACGAACCCUGUUACAAUGACUAACCUGACAAGAUACAUGCCCACAGGUGGAAUAGUCGGAUGGAUGCUAUUCAAGUAACCAGCCACUUUCUGAUUGAAUCCAGGGCUUGAUAUAUAUAUAUAUAUGAGAUGGAACCCAUGCUUGGCACUGUUAAAGGGACAAAAACCUGUGGCUAGAUAGGCUGAAAUUUAUAUGUCCAAGCAAUUGUUUUAAAGU